CCUACGGGAGGCAGCAGUGAGGAAUAUUGGUCAAUGGCCGGAAGGCUGAACCAGCCAUGCCGCGUGAAGGGCAGCGGCCUAUGGGCGUUAAACUUCUUUUGUGCGGGAGCAAUAAUGGUCACGUGUGGCCAGACGAGAGUACCGUACGAAUAAGCAUCGGCUAACUCCGUGCCAGCAGCCGCGGUAAUACGGGGGAUGCAAGCGUUAUCCGGAUUUAUUGGGUUUAAAGGGGGCGUAGGCUGUGAGGUAAGUCAGCGGUGAAAGUCUGUGGGUCAACCAUAGAAUUGCCGUUGAAACUGGGGGGCUUGAGUAUGUUUGAGGCAGGCGGAAUGCGUGGUGUAGCGGUGAAAUGCUUAGAUAUCACGCAGAACCCCGAUUGCGAAGGCAGCCUGCCAAGCCAUGACUGACGCUGAUGCACGAAAGCGUGGGGAUCAAACAGGAUUAGAUACCCCGGUAGUC
Molecule: ribosomal RNA, 459 nt
Filed under: uncultured bacterium
Lineage: Bacteria
Description: partial 16S ribosomal RNA
Rfam family: Bacterial small subunit ribosomal RNA
Source: RNAcentral